AAUCACGAAAUAACGCAUCGGUGACGCGGCGUCCUCUUCCCUACGUAACGUAGACAUCUUGCGUGUGUUUGUGUGCGUGUGUGUGUGUGUGUGUGUGUGUGUGUUGCGCUCUGUUGUUUUGUUUUGUUUCUGUCGUGUUUCGGACUGUCGUCUCCCCUACCUCUCUCCUGGUCCUCCAUACCGACUCCGUUUCUUGUGCUCGUCUCCGCUGUCCCGCCUCCUCCCCUUCUACAUUCUGCAACCUCUCCGCGCCGACGGCUUCGUGAUCAGUGUCUCUUUCGUGUCCCUGUUUCGUGUCCUUCUCAAGCUGCACAGGCGCCUGCCGCGGCUUCUUCCCGUCCCGAAAGCAGAACGAAGCGGAAAGGACGCGGAGGCGGCACUCGUUCGUUGUCGCUUGCAGCUGACUUGUCGCUGCUACCCUUGCUCUCUCUCUCCAUUCCCGCGCACCGCGUGCGUGCGUGCGUGAGGCAGAGCUCGCUCGCUGCUGGUCGAUUAUUUACUUACUCUUAGAAUCAUUCAGAGAUCGCACAGAGACGUGUAGACGUGUCUGUCUACCCGUCUGUGUGUGUGUGUGUGUGUGUGUGUGUGUGUGUGUGCGUGCCGGUGGCAGUCGUGGUGCUCGGAAAGGAGAAGACGAAGGCGGAACGAAAAACUUCGUAGGCGUCCAUCGUUCGUUCCCGUCGAUACACCGGUGCUUCGAUAGAGUGAGAGAUUCGGUGCCGUCCAAGCGCUCACCCUCGCCUCCACGGCACAUCUGCCUCACCACGCACGUCGCCCUCUCCGCUCUCCCCGCACACGAAAAAGUUUUGUGUAGAGAGUGGGGGGGUCAUCGCGAAGGAAGAAGGCGACGCCCAUCGGAGGUGCGUGUCUUCUCUGUAAUUACAGAACAACAGACAAGUAGAGAAGCACACGGAAUCACAGAUACGCGCGUCGUCGGCGAACCAACAGAAGACGGAAAGGGCGGAUCCACACACGCACAUACAGGGAGCAGAUCAGACGACACGGUGGUGCCUGUCGCCGUCUUGGUUGAUUGGAUCAGUGAAGAUAGGCGGGGGAACACAAAAAAAGGUCCAAGUGACACGUAGUGGGCGCGUAUAGCUCGAAGAUCCAGCGGACGAUUCAGGCAGAAGCCGCACGAAAAGGGUUUGCUCACCGUCCCUCUCUGUCUCUGUCUUUGUCUGUCUGUGUCUCCGCGUAUUGUUCUUGUGCGGAUCUGUGGAGUCAGCACCUCUCUUCGUCUUUGUCUUCGUCAUCACCCCUCCCCUCCCCCCUCUUUCCCCCGGCCGUUUCCCCUGGCAUCGUUGCUGUCUGUGUGUUAGGCGUGCAUCACACCUGUGCUGCGGCAGCGCGUCACCCAUCUCCUCUCCUCACGCACGAGUAUCCCAGCAUCACUAUCACCCCUUUUUUAUCCCUUCUUUUUUCCUCAUCAUUUCUCGUCCUCAGUGCCCACCCCUCCCCACCCCCUCCAUCACGAGACACACACACAUACACACACACCUCGCUCUCGCUUCUCUCUUCCUUUGAUCGCUGCCGUGGUGAGUGUUGCAUUCUCUGUGCCUCCCCUUCAUCCGUCCUCCCCCUCCCCCUCUUCAGACAUCUUUCUUCUUUUCUUCGGGGUGGUGGUUGCUCGCUCUCGUCUCCCUCACGUGCACCAUAUCAAGUGUGUUCCUUAAUACGCUUCUCUCCCGUGCCUGCGUGCGUCUGGAACUAAGCAACUGUGUGUGUGUGUGUGUGUGUGUGUGCCUGCACCUCAUCUCCGCCGUCCUUCUCCCUACUCAGGUUCGAAAAGCACAGCGCACAGAGGAGGAGGAGGAGGAGGAAGAGGAGCACACAUACGUCUUGGUCGUUUCUCUGUUGUUGUCGCGCGCUUCGACUUUCGCACUCCUAACACCUUCACCCCCUUAGCGUUUAUGAUAUAUCGGUUUCUCUAGGCACGCAGACGAAGCGAUACACGGGAUUGGCUAGAGGGCUCUGUAUCGUCUCUCUCCUCCCUCCCUCCACCCACCCAUCCAUCCAUCCGUCCAUCCAGCUGCCGCGUGAAGGCAUCUGUGUUGUGUUGCUGUUGUUGUCGUCGCUUGCUUCUUUGUUGGUGUCGCUCGGCUCAAGUUUUCCGUACCUCUCUCCUUGCUCGCUCUUCGGUUGCUUCGUAAGUCGCCUUCCUCUCCCUUUUCGUCUCUUCCCCCGUACUCUCGCCGCCGCCGUCGUCGUCGUCGUCGUCGCUUGCGUGUGCGUGUGUGCGCGUCGGCGCGGGAGGCUCGAUUUCCCUUUCGUGUUGUUGUUUGCCACCGCCACCCCUCAUCUCAUCCCUGUCCACAAGUUUGUGCAGCUCCCUUCACCUUCACCUGUGCAUCUGUGCUUGUGUCUCGCAUCAUCUUCAGCGCGAUGUUCGCCCAAUCCGAGAGCGAAGAGCUGCUGCAUCUGCUGUCGCAGGUGCGCCUCGUGGCGGACGAGGAAGAGCGUAACGAGCAAGAGCAGCAUCAGCAAGAAAAACUGGAGCAGCGGCAUCGCCCAAGCGUCGACGGUGAGCACACGAUGCCGGUGUAUACUUCUGCUGCCGGCGCGACAGCGAAGGUACUUGACAAGCAGAUAAGCAACGGCAGCUCGGCGAGCAUCGCCAGCGGCGGCGGCGGCUCUGCUGCAGGACGAUAUACCGCCUCCUCCACCGCGGCCGUCACGAGCAGCUGGACUGUGCAUGACAAUACGGACAGCACCUUUGGCAUCAACACCGCAGCGGCGAGCAACAGCUUUCUCGCCGACUACGAGCACCACCGCGCGAACCCGUUUGACCAGCCGCCCGUGACUCGCACCCCGGCCACAGACGUGAAGGUGCUGCUGCAGCCGUCGGACGAGCGUGCAAGGUGCAUCGAGGUGGACAUGGCCAGCCGAGGCGACGGCUACAACGUAUUCCGGCAGCCGAAGCAGCUCCUCUUCGCCUCCCCAUCAGCAGCGGCUCAGGUAGUGACUGUGCAGCAGCAGCAGCAGCAGCAGCAGCAGCGGCGGCGUCUCGAGCAGCUGCAGCAGCAGAGACCAUUGUCACUAGUGACGCACGCGCGCCAGUCCAUGCCCUCCCCCCACGCGUACAACGUUUACACCGCAUCCGUGAGCACGGCAACCAGAACGACGACACCGCGCUCGAUCGACGAUGCAGCGCCGAUCUUGCCGGUUGCGGUCGAGCGCGAAGGCAGCGGCUACCGCGGUGCUGCGGCCGAUAGUGCGAUACUUCGAGACACCCCCUCACCAGCUGUCACCUCAUCGGCACCAUCCGCCUACACCAAGCGUGAUGGCAAGACGGUGGCGGAAGUAGUGCUAGAGGGCAUCUCGGACUUUGCAGCUGUGAUACAGAAUGAUGGUUUCGACGGGGAUUGCGAGGAGGAAUUUGGCCGCACCAGUGGUGGCGGGGGUGGCGGUGACCGGCUAUCGGAUGUCUGGACGCCCGCGCGCAGUAUCGGCACGCCGCAGUCAGCGCUAGAUGGCUCUAACCGAUCGCUGCGCCUGUUUCACCUGCAGCAGCAGCAGCAGUCGCAUCAACACCUUCACCAGCACCACACCACCCCAUCUUCUCCGUCCUCCGCGGCUGAGGCUGCUGUCGCGCAGUUCUUUCGUGUAAGCAGCAGUGUCGAUGUCAUGGACAACGGUGGCCUCGACAGUGCGUGGCGAGCGAGUGUUGAGGCGGAGCUCGCGGAGCUCCAGCGCGGUGGACGACUGUCCAUGAACAGCGCGGUGGUGCAGGGAACGCCGAUAUCGACGGUCUCGCCGCUUCCACCAACGUCGACUACACCGUAUCACCAGCUGCUCAGCCAACUGCGGCACAGCCCGUCACAAGUGCCGGCGAGUGGGCUUGGGCCUGCCAACACUGCCUUCACGGGCAGAGCGGCGCACGCGAAUACGCCGCCGGACCGACCCCCGCCAUCAUCAUCCUCACGCCUGGCCAGCAUGGGGCCGACGCCGCUCUACACAACCCACAUCACGAGCAUACCGCGAGCUUCCUCCUCCGCUGCAGCCGCUGGCGCAUCGACGGAGCAGGGCCGCAGCUGCUGGCCGCGCUCCAGCCUCACCCCGUCCGAGGCGGCAGCUUUGUGGGAGCGCCUAAGUCCGUAUGAGAGGGCCGCCGCAGCAGCAGCAGCAGCGGCAAGCUCGAACGCAGCCUCCGUCGCCGCAGCCGCGGCGCUGCUCCGCACCCCUGACACGGUUUCGAAGCCAGUCACGCUCUCCUCGAUUGCUGCACACCUUCACAGCGGUGUUGGCGAUCUGGGUAGCUCGGACGAAAUGGGCGGAGCGCACGCGCACGCGGACAAUCCUUCUCGCACCUAUGCGUCCCCGCCAACGUUUACCACGGCCCCGAUGCGGGUGCCUCGCCCAGCCAGCGCGGCGCAGCUCUUCCCACCGUCGUCACCAUCUCAGCCCAACUCUGCAUCGCCAGCUACGGCCGGCACAGGCGUCUCGCCGCACCACGGCUGGCAGCAAAGCCACAGCAACCAUCGGCAGGGGCAGUAUUCGCAGACAGCAUCACCUCGCACGAAUGCAACGACGGUGAUGGCCCUGCCACCACCGCCACCGCCACCACCUGCGUCGACGCCGUCACUGGCGACAGCAGCAGCAGCAGCAGCAGGCCCGUACAAAUCCCAGCAGAACCAUUUGCAGACGCCUUCGAUGCGCCGUUGGAGCCCCGUCGACGCACCUCCAUCGACCACCGGUGUCGGCCCAGUCGCCGGUAACGCACACAACACCAACUCACCCCCUUCCUGCAGUCUGCGUCCGUCGCCGCACCCUCGUCCGUCCAACGGCAGCUCGCCGGCGCUGCGGCGAUACACCAUCACCACUCCCAGCAGUCACGCGACGACUGCGACAGCCGCCAACAACAGCACGAACAGUGGCGGCAAGAAGCACGUCGAUGGGAGCCCUCUCGGGGUCAGCGGUGCAUCGGUCGCUGACAAAGGAACGUCGCGCGAGGCGCGGCCACGUGUGCAGCUCUCGCAGACGUCCUGCUCGACUGGCGUCGCUGCCGCGGUCUGCGGCGGUGCUCGUGGGGCCCGCGGCUCGCUGGGCGCAUCUGCACACGGCGCUGGCGGUGGUGCGAGCCCGAGCUCACCGUCAUACCACCACAACCACAGCAAUCACGCCGGUCACCACCUGAACAGCCCCUCGAACUCCGCAGGCGCAACCGCCGGGCCCGGGGCGUCCAUGGUGUCAGCCGCCGCCGUCCAAGCACUCAUCCAGCGCCUACAGGCAGCCGCGGCGAUCGUGCUGCCCAACUCUCCGUCCGCGUCGUCCGCUGUGACGGGUGGCGGGCAGAUGUCUUUCAAGGCUGAGGAAAGCGGCGUCGCCAGCGUCGCCGCCGUGCCCGACGUUGCGUCGGCGCCGAUUAUACUCGCCAUGUCGCACGAUCAACACGGCUGCCGGCUUCUGCAGGCGGUGAUCGACGCCGAGUGCAGCGAGGGCGAAGCGAUUGACGGAGGGCACGACGAGCUCGCGGCAGACGAUGCCGCCGCCGCUGCGAGCCGGGCAGGGGCUGAGCGGGACGGGAGCGCCGCAGUCUCUCCGUCGAUGACAGCCGGGGCGGGUGCUGGAGAGAAGGGUAGCGUUAACGAGCGCCGCCGUCGUCGUCGCGCCGAAGCCUUUGAGAACUCCAUCCCUGUUCGCGUCGUUCUGCGGGCAAUCGAACCCAAGCUGGACGCCGUCAUGGCCGACGGGUACGGCAACUUCCUCCUCCAAAAAGUUUUCGACAUGGCACCUGAUGCGGAGCGCCAACGGCUGCUGCGGCUGCCGUCGCUGCAACAUCACCUGUGCGAGGUCGCCUGCUCUCCCCAUGGCACCUUCGCGGUGCAGCGGCUCGUCGAGACGGUUCGCAACAUGGAAGAGGAGCGCCUCGUUUUCGUCGCUCUGGAGCGUGAUCUGCUGCGCCUGCUGACGAACGCGAACGGGGGUCACGUACUGAUGAAGGUGAUGGAGUGCAUCCGGCGCCAGUAUAACGCCUUGGCAUCUGGCGCGAGCAGUGUGACAGAGCCGUCAUCCGCGUCCAUGGCGGCGCCGGGCGAAAGCAGCACCGCACCAUCACGCCGCCUGCUCGAGGAAAGGGUGGCGACACUUUUUCAGGCGAUUCAGCAGCAUCUGCUGUACGUCUGCCAGCACAAGCAGGGCUGCUGCAUUGUCCAGAAGUGCCUGGACUUCCUCCACGCGUGCGCUGGAUUAUCGCCGUCGUUGCCGUCAUCCUCUGGCGCGGUGGAGCAGAUGGACUACUUUGAACGCAUGGCAGCGCUUCUCCUUCCCCACGUGCAGGAGCUCUCCACUCACCCGUUUGGCAACUACGUCGUGACGCGCCUCGUGGACGUCUGCUACGCGCGCGGGAGCACCGCCACCAUCGACGCCGUGGCGGCCGGCAUGCAGCGGGACUUGGUGCAGAUGUGCACGAACAAGUUUGCAUCAAAUGUGGUUGAGCACAUUCUGCGCCACUGCAGCGAGCGGCGCAUUCGCCUCAUCUGCCAGGCGCUGAUGAUGCCCCUCGCCCACCCCUCUGCACCAGCGGUGUACGCCUCUGCCUCGACAGCGGCGGCCACAAACGCCGCCAUCGCUCGGCUGCCGUUGAUCAUCGUUGUCAUGGACCCCUAUGGCAACUAUGUGAUCCAGACGCUGCUGACGGUGGCGCCGGUGGACGAGCUGGUGAGCACGCGCGCAGAGGGAGGCGGCAUGCUACCCGUGCUUCAGCAGCUUCUCCCGCUGCUCAGCUCACGCAACUACGGCCGGAAGCUGGAGACGAAGACGGAGCUCGCCUUGCUGAGGGUGGAGCAGCACCAACAGCAGCAGAAGCAGCGCCGCAGUUGAUAAAGUUGGUUCUCCUUUUUUUUUUAACAUUUUGCGUGUGUACGUGUGGCCACCGUACCCGGCUGCUGUGCUCAACCGCGAAGGACCGCUCAAACGCUGUGCACAGCUCGACCGGCUAUUUUCUGCACAGGCGCGUCUGAAGGUGCGACGAGGCUCUCGCGCAUGACGCACGCAUCACAGACCCACCCCCACCCCACCCGCCCAACUCUUCAUCUUUUUCUAUUGUCAUCUUCCCCUUCUUGGUUAGAGCUCUUCUCCACGUAUGAAACCUGCAGCGAGCGGGACAAGGUCCGAUAUACGCCUCUCCGCCUCCCCCUGUGUGUGAAUCUCUGUCUGUAUGUGCGUGCGUGUCGCGGGGGAGGGCGGGGGGUGAGCUCCGACAUCUUUCUGUUUCUCUGUUGCCGUGCCGCGAGGCCUAUCACGCGCAUCCAACGUUACCAUAACCAAAAAAGAGCGAAAAAAGAAUGCGGGAGCGGUGUGGCGGAGUGCCAACGUAGAAGACCGGGAAGGAUGGCACACCCACGCACGGUUGCGGAGGCGGUGGGGGCUACUCCGUCCCCGCCGUUCGUUGGUGUAGCGACUCUGUCUUGACUGUGCGCGCCAAGGCAUCGCAUAUAGACGUAUGGCAUACAAGCGAAGACAAGGGGGAGAGAAGGAAGGCGAUGGUGCACGUCUGUCCUCCGCAGCCCCAAAAUACUCUUCUCCUCGGCCCCACCCCUUUCCUUCUCUCGCGCUUCCUCCAUAUGUUUUUUGUUGGCCAACGUUGCUGCGCGUGUGUUUGGGCCCGACACAUGCACGCACGCCCAG
This 7626-nucleotide unclassified non-coding RNA is filed under the name Leishmania donovani. RNAcentral's name for it is "gene:LdHU3.12.0510(CDS-product:pumillio_protein_4 _putative)". Lineage: Eukaryota; Euglenozoa; Kinetoplastea; Trypanosomatida; Trypanosomatidae. The record is from RNAcentral.